GAUGAACGCUGGCGGCGUGCCUAAUACAUGCAAGUCGAGCGAAUGGAUUAAGAGCUUGCUCUUAUGAAGUUAGCGGCGGACGGGUGAGUAACACGUGGGUAACCUGCCCAUAAGACUGGGAUAACUCCGGGAAACCGGGGAUAAUACCGGAUAACAUUUUGAACCGCAUGGUUCGAAAUUGAAAGGCGGCUUCGGCUGUCACUUAUGGAUGGACCCGCGACGCAUUAGCUAGGUGGUGAGGUAACGGCUCACCAAGGCAAAGAUGCGUAGCCGACCCGAGAGGGUGAUCGGCCACACUGGGACUGAGACACGGCCCAGACUCCUACGGGAGGCAGCAGUAGGGAAUCUUCCGCAAUGGACGAAAGUCUGACGGAGCAACGCCGCGUGAGUGAUGAAGGCUUUCGGGUCGUAAAACUCUGUUGUUAGGGAAGAACAAGUGCUAGUUGAAUAAGCUGGCACCUUGACGGUACCUAACCAGAAAGCCACGGCUAACUACGUGCCAGCCGCCGCAGUAA
RNAcentral lists this ribosomal RNA (515 nucleotides) under uncultured bacterium. Its description in RNAcentral is "partial 16S ribosomal RNA". It matches the Rfam family "Bacterial small subunit ribosomal RNA", at positions 28 to 523 of the family's 1533-position model. The record is from RNAcentral.